Paramuricea clavata is the source of this 494-nucleotide non-coding RNA. NCBI's taxonomy places the organism in Eukaryota, Metazoa, Cnidaria, Anthozoa, Malacalcyonacea, Plexauridae. The record is from the annotation of a GenBank genome assembly.
CUCCUCUUGACCUUUUCUAAUAUGCUUUGCUAGGUCUCUAAUUACUAUAACCAUUAUAUCUUUAAUUUACUAAUUUUUUUAAUGAUAGGCUAGGUUGUUAUUCAUCCCUUCCUCCUAUUCGCUUAUUUGAAUAAUUAACCGUUUAAAAAUUUGUAUAUAUACAGGGUGUCCCAAAAAACCCGAAAACUAUUGAAAUCACGUAUUGUUAAAAUUGAAUGCCCUACCAAAAAGCUGAACGUAAUGAUGCGUAAAAUAUUGACAAGGUGCAUGUAUUAAAAUUUAGUUAAGAACAUCUCCUUGUAAAGUGCGCGAUUUUCUGCUCUUGGGAAUUUAAAGCAGCUUCUUAAAUAGUUUCUUUAUGCAUAAAAUUUACUUAUGUCAAUCAUUUAUGCACUCGUGGGAACCAACAGAGUGCUAAGACAUUCAAAUUCUAACAAUUAAAUUGUUAUUGGUGAUUGCAAUAGUUUUCGUUUUUUUGGGACACCCUGUAUAAC